CUAGUAACGGCGAGUGAACCGGGAAGAGCUCAAAUUUGAAAUCUGGUGCCCUCUGGGCGUCCGAGUUGUAAUCUAUAGAGAUGCUUUCCGUGCCGGACCGUGUCCAAGUCCCUUGGAACAGGGUAUCAGAGAGGGUGACAAUCCCGUACUUGACACGACGACCGGUGCUCUGUGAUACAUCUUCUACGAGUCGAGUUGUUUGGGAAUGCAGCUCAAAAUGGGUGGUGAGUUCCAUCUAAAGCUAAAUAUUGGCGAGAGACCGAUAGCGAACAAGUACCGUGAGGGAAAGAUGAAAAGCACUUUGGAAAGAGAGUUAAACAGUAUGUGAAAUUGUUGAAAGGGAAACGAUUGAAGCCAGUCGUGUCUGGGGCGCUCAGCCGGUUCCGCCGGCGUAUUCCCCCCAGAUGGGUCAACAUCAGUUUUGUCCGGUGGAUAAGGGCGGCGGGAAGGUGGCACCUCCGGGUGUGUUAUAGCCCGCCGCCGCAUGCACCGGGUGAGACUGAGGAACGCAGCUCGCCUUCAUGGCCGGGGUUCGCCCACGUUCGAGCUUAGGAUGUUGAUGUAAUGGCUUUAAACGACCCGUCUUGAAACACGGACCAAGGAGUCUAACAUAUCUGCGAGUGUUUGGGUGUCAAACCCGGGCGCGUAAUGAAAGUAAACGUAGGAGGGAUGCGCAAGCAGCACCUUUGACCGGUCCGGAUCUUCUGUGAUGGAUUUGAGUAA
This 723-nucleotide ribosomal RNA is filed under the name uncultured fungus. Its description in RNAcentral is "eukaryotic LSU rRNA". It matches the Rfam family "Eukaryotic large subunit ribosomal RNA", at positions 80 to 797 of the family's 3401-position model. Lineage: Eukaryota; Fungi. The record is from RNAcentral.